This 1250-nucleotide long non-coding RNA is filed under the name Malus domestica (apple). RNAcentral describes it as "long non-coding RNA (MDOM_LNC000156)". The record is from RNAcentral. Lineage: Eukaryota; Viridiplantae; Streptophyta; Magnoliopsida; Rosales; Rosaceae.
UGUUGGUUUGUCAAGCGAUCCGGGAGAGUCGUUCCUCGCAAUCUUCAUAGCAAGGAGCCUUGACUGAGUAGUUGAAGAAGUCUUCUGGGAAGAGGUCACGCAUCAGGAUGGGGAUGCAUGAUCGUCGUGUCAAAGUUUCAUUAUCUCCAACACUUUCACAUUGUUCUGAAGGUUGACAGGAGCUGCUUUGCCCCCUUUCCCAUUGGUGAACUUGUGGAAGAGAUGGUUGCUGCCUAGAAAGGCGGUCCUCACAAUCUUUAUAGCAAGGAGCCUUGAUCGAGUAGUUGAAUAAUUUUUUGAGAAAGAAGAGAUCGCGCAUGGUCGAUCUUUGUGUCGAAAUUUCCUCAUCUUCAACAUUUUCACGUUGCUUUGGAGGUUGGCGAAAGCUGCUUUGCCCCCUUUUCGAUUGGUGCACUUGUGGAGAAGACGUAUGCUUCUCGUGCAGUUUCUUCGAAGUGACAUGAGUCUAUCCUUCAACUUCACUUAACUUGGAGUAUGCCCCCAACGGUCGAGGUGAAGACUUUGAGUCGAAAGAGCCAAAAGUGACGUCUUCCUUAGAGAUUUCAUAUUCUUUGUCUUUUUGGAUUUGUUGGCGUGAAGAUUGGCCGAUGUGGAUGAUGGUGCGCCUUCUUACUUUCAGUGGUCCAUUUGUGUUCAACCUUCAAAGUUGCUUGGCGCUUCAUCCUUGAAGGAAUCAAGCUUCGAAUAUCGCCUUUUUCUAUUAGCCUGUCGAGCUUUUCUUCCUUUAACGUUGUCUCCCUAUUUCUAAAAAACUUCCUGUUGUCUUCAAGUCUUUCCAAAGCUGACUGACGAGGAGGAGAGCUAGCCGUGUUGCCGUGUUGCAUUGCUUCUUAGGUUUUGACAACCUUUCAAAAUUAGAGCUUUGGGAUGUUGGCAUGUUAAGCCUCUUAAAAACGGAGGUUUGGUUUUGACCACCAAUGCGAUUAAGUGCUUACAUUCUAGGUCUUGAACGGUUCAUCCUAUCGAAGACUAACGUCCGAGGGACGGCUUUAGGCUCCUCUUGAUCUUGUUCAAUGCUCACACUAAUGUGUUAAGUGUUAGCAUUUUUUGCUUUGCUUGAAAUCUUCACGAGUGGAUUUGGUAUGAAGCCAAGUCCAGCUUUGUUGUUGUCAACUCCGUAACCAUGCUUCUUUAACUUUUUUUUAGUCUCAGUGAGGUCACAUUCUUUAUCGUUGAUGGUGUUUGAAACCUUCUUUCUAGGAUUCGAAGAAGAAGCAAAGUCGUACCCA